AAAAAACCAAAUGGUUCCCAUGGAAUACCAUGGACGUGAGGGGAGCUAAUACCUUCCUCUCGCAUAACCGACUCCCGAACCCUAAUCUCGGUUACGAGACCGAUACCCUAUCCUUUCCUUCGCGCUUCCCAUGUGCUUAUAUUUUUUAGGGUUUUAUCGACUAUUUCCCCUCGCCUCUUCGAUUGAGGCAUACAAAAUAAAAUUCGGUGGCGACUCUUCUGACCCUCUUGUUCAGUCAGUCCG
RNAcentral lists this long non-coding RNA (243 nucleotides) under Lathyrus oleraceus (garden pea). Its description in RNAcentral is "Pisum sativum (pea) long non-coding RNA (PSAT_LNC036715)". Lineage: Eukaryota; Viridiplantae; Streptophyta; Magnoliopsida; Fabales; Fabaceae. The record is from RNAcentral.